RNAcentral lists this long non-coding RNA (382 nucleotides) under Setaria italica (foxtail millet). RNAcentral's name for it is "long non-coding RNA (SITA_LNC002341)". The record is from RNAcentral. Lineage: Eukaryota; Viridiplantae; Streptophyta; Magnoliopsida; Poales; Poaceae.
UUAAGUCUGAGGACCCCUAGCACAUCUAUUCCUCUAGAUUAAGGGUCUGAUCAUAAGUUCCUUCCCAUCCGACCCUUAUAUCUUGAUCUCCACCAACUCAAGCGAACCUCCCCACCCUCCCGUAACUUGCUGCAAGUUUCUGGGCUCAAACUUGCAAGUGUUGCUGUUGAAAUAACCGUCUAAAUGCUAACCCAUGCAUUGCAUUCAUGUAGAGCUGCGUCUCGCUGACGGCUUCUACGAACUGUGCCCGGCGCCAGAGGACGAAGCUGCAGCAGAGCUCCCGCCUCCAGAAGCCAAAGCUGUCCAAGCAGAAGAGCAGUUUCCCUCCUCCUUGUUCGAAGGCAAGCCCCGGAUGCAUGAAUCCCCCUGUGUUUUACCAAAC